AAGUGGAAAGCUAAAGUUGAAAAGCUGAGUGAUUAAAAAGUCUCUGUAAGCAUUGGCUAUUUAUAAUCCGAUGAAUGAAUAUUGGAGAUAGAAAAAUUGCAUAUUAUCAGUUGUUUCUAAAUCUGACAGGGAUUUCACAUGGAGAAGUUCUUAUACGAUGGAGAAAUUCAAAGUCCGUAGGUUGCUAAAAUUGCCAUCUCAAUCCAAGCUUCAGGGGAGGUUUCACUCAAG
RNAcentral lists this unclassified non-coding RNA (231 nucleotides) under Hevea brasiliensis (rubber tree). The record is from RNAcentral. Lineage: Eukaryota; Viridiplantae; Streptophyta; Magnoliopsida; Malpighiales; Euphorbiaceae.